CGAGUUUUUGUAGCAAUACAAGGCAGACGGCUCAGUAACGCGUAGUCAACCUACCCUAUGGACGGGAAUAACCUCGGGAAACUGAGUAUAAUGCCCGAUAGAACAUUAUGCCUGGAAGGGUUUAUGUUCCAAAUGAUUUAUCGCCGUAGGAUGGGACUGCGGCCUAUCAGUUUGUUGGUGAGGUAAUGGCCCACCAAGACUAUUACAGGUACGGGCUCUGAGAGGAGUAGCCCGGAGAUGGGUACUGAGACACGGACCCAGGCCCUAUGGGGCGCAGCAGGCGAGAAAACUUUGCAAUGUGCGAAAGCACGACAAGGUUAAUCCGAGUGGUUUCUGCUAAAGGAACCUUUUGUCAGUCGUAAAACCACUAACGAAUAAGGGGUGGGCAAGUUCUGGUGUCAGCCGCCGCGGUAAAACCAGCACCUCAAGUGGUCAGGAUGAUUAUUGGGCCUAAAGCAUCCGUAGCCUGCUCUGUAAGUUUUCGGUUAAAUCUGUAUGCUCAACAUACAGGCUGCCGGGAAUACUGCAGAGCUAGGGAGUGGGAGAGGUAGACGGUACUCGGGAGGAAGUGGUAAAAUGCUUUGAUCUCUCGAUGACCACCUGUGGCGAAGGCGGUCUACCAGAACACGUCCGACGGUGAGGGAUGAAAGCUGGGGGAGCAAACCGGAUUAGAUACCCGGGUAGUCCCAGCUGUAAACUAUGCAAACUCAGUGAUGCAUUGGCUUGUGGCCAAUGCAGUGUUGCAGGGAAGCCGUUAAGUUUGCCGCCUGGGAAGUACGUACGCAAGUAUGAAACUUAAAGGAAUUGGCGGGGGAGCACCACAAGGGGUGAAGCCUGCGGUUCAAUUGGAGUCAACGCCGGG
Molecule: ribosomal RNA, 862 nt
Filed under: uncultured archaeon
Lineage: Archaea
Description: bacterial SSU rRNA
Rfam family: Archaeal small subunit ribosomal RNA
Source: RNAcentral